GUUUAUUCGCUGCUUGUACAGUACUGAUCUUAACAGGAGAGUAAACUGGGCGAUACGGGCGCGUUUGUUGUGGGUUUAGGGCUUUGACAGGGGGCAGGCGGUUGGGUUGUUUAUCUGUAGUAAGGGGGAGCUUGAAACCGUGCGCCUUGCCCCACGUCCUCGCUUGUUUUCCUUCUCGCGCUCGGAUUCUCCAUGUUGUUGGAACGACAUCGCGAGAGUGCACGCGCGCUGCGCACUAACAGCAUAAACAGCGUCACUUAUUAUAUGCAGGCGAUUAAAUGCAAACAGACGCGCGGAGCUGCAAGAAUGCGCAGCUUUUAAAAUUAUAGCGCAAAUUAUCCUGCCCCUCCCAUAUGCACGAGGCGGGAAUUUUAUAUUUCAAUAUAGAUUUAAACAAAAUGGGUUUUCUUUGUAAUAUCACUGAUGUCGGUUAUAUUUCGAUCUCCUAUGCAAAAUUUGCUCUCAUUUUUAAAGAUGCAAAGUUGCGCGGCAAGUGCACCAACAGAGAAGGUUCGUCUGUCGUCGAAAACAGGUGAAAAAUUCGUCAAUAUGGAUGUUCAAGCGUUAUGCAUAGAAUGAUUUCGCACCUACCCAUGAUGCCCAGAGUGCCUGAGGACAUCAGGACAAAUAGCAAGGUUAGAUGGAGUCAGUGGAGACUGAAAAACACACAGCAGAGACUGAUGGAUUGGAUCAAUCAUGUUCUAGAAAGAGUAGCAAGAGAUGUUUUAAUUGAUCUGAUUUCCUCACAACGUUGAUCCUAAAGACAUGGACUCUAGUUUGUUACGUCAUCAUUCAAACUGUUUUUGUCAUUUAAUGCAAUAGCUGUUUUUUUAUGCCUGGAGUUUAUGUCUAAUUGAAUCUUGAUGUAAUAAAUUACAUCAUGGGAUACGUCCAACAAUGGAUGCACCAAUUCUUUAUCAACUAGACUAGCAAUUUUAAAACUUAACAACCUAACAAAUUCAACCUAACCUUUCAUUCCCCCAAAAUAGCAGAAAACUUUUACAUCACUACAGGAACAAAUGAAAAUUGUUGUAUAUAUAUUUUUUUACAACAGAAUUUUGUAGAAAACCUUCAAUAAACUUCUUUUGUGGAAUCUUUUGUA
Long non-coding RNA from Trichomycterus rosablanca, 1102 nucleotides. RefSeq lists it as uncharacterized. The record is from RefSeq and is a predicted model, not a curated record. The transcript has 4 exons. Lineage: Eukaryota; Metazoa; Chordata; Actinopteri; Siluriformes; Trichomycteridae.